Molecule: ribosomal RNA, 274 nt
Filed under: uncultured bacterium
Lineage: Bacteria
Description: partial 16S ribosomal RNA
Rfam family: Bacterial small subunit ribosomal RNA
Source: RNAcentral
AUACGGAGGGUGCAAGCGUUAAUCGGAAUUACUGGGCGUAAAGCGCGCGUAGGCGGUUACUUAAGUCAGAUGUGAAAGCCCCGGGCUCAACCUGGGAACUGCAUUUGAAACUGAGUGACUAGAGUUUAAGAGAGGGGAGUAGAAUUCCGGGUGUAGCGGUGAAAUGCGUAGAGAUCCGGAGGAAUACCAGUGGCGAAGGCGGCUCCCUGGCUUAAAACUGACGCUGAGGUACGAAAGCGUGGGUAGCAAACAGGAUUAGAAACCCCGGUAGUCC